GUCGAGCGGCGGACGGGUGAGUAAUGCCUGGGAAAUUGCCCUGAUGUGGGGGAUAACCAUUGGAAACGAUGGCUAAUACCGCAUAAUAGCUUCGGCUCAAAGAGGGGGACCUUCGGGCCUCUCGCGUCAGGAUAUGCCCAGGUGGGAUUAGCUAGUUGGUGAGGUAAUGGCUCACCAAGGCGACGAUCCCUAGCUGGUCUGAGAGGAUGAUCAGCCACACUGGAACUGAGACACGGUCCAGACUCCUACGGGAGGCAGCAGUGGGGAAUAUUGCACAAUGGGCGCAAGCCUGAUGCAGCCAUGCCGCGUGUAUGAAGAAGGCCUUCGGGUUGUAAAGUACUUUCAGCAGUGAGGAAGGCAGGUACGUUAAUAGCGUGCUCGUUUGACGUUAGCUGCAGAAGAAGCACCGGCUAACUCCGUGCCAGCAGCCGCGGUAAUACGGAGGGUGCGAGCGUUAAUCGGAAUUACUGGGCGUAAAGCGCAUGCAGGUGGUUUGUUAA
This 500-nucleotide ribosomal RNA is filed under the name Vibrio sp. WH177. Its description in RNAcentral is "bacterial SSU rRNA". It matches the Rfam family "Bacterial small subunit ribosomal RNA", at positions 90 to 586 of the family's 1533-position model. Lineage: Bacteria; Pseudomonadati; Pseudomonadota; Gammaproteobacteria; Vibrionales; Vibrionaceae. The record is from RNAcentral.